UACGUAGGCAGCAAGCGUUGUUCGGAAUUACUGGGCGUAAAGAGUGUGUAGGCGGUGUUCUAAGUUUGUCGUGAAAUCUCCCGGCUUAACUGGGAGGGUGCGGCGAAAACUGGAAUGCUAGAGGAUGGGAGAGGUAAGCGGAAUUCCUGGUGUAGCGGUGAAAUGCGUAGAUAUCGGGAGGAACACCGGUGGCGAAGGCGGCCUUCUGGUCGGAUACUGACGCUAAAACGCGAAAGCGUGGGGAGCAAACAGG
This 253-nucleotide ribosomal RNA is filed under the name uncultured bacterium. Its description in RNAcentral is "partial 16S ribosomal RNA". It matches the Rfam family "Bacterial small subunit ribosomal RNA", at positions 524 to 776 of the family's 1533-position model. The record is from RNAcentral.